AAACAUCCCUUAUCACCACACCCUUGACAACUGGGAGGGCAUUUGGGUUGAAGUUGUCAUCAGGGUGGUCGCCAACGUCUCCUGCGAUUUUUAUCCCCGUUCGAGCCUUUUCCAUGUAUACAUUGGACACUGUGAUAUUUCUUAUGACCCCUCCCCUGCCAAUGUUGGUCUUCAGAUGAAUGCCGACACCCAUGUUGUAAAGGUUUAUGUGCUCAGCAAAGACAUUCUGCACGCCACCGGAGGUUUCACUCCCAACUGCUAUUCCAGCAAAUGGGGAUGAUCCUGUUAUCCUCCGGAUGGUGAUGCCGGAGCUAGGGCGUCCAUAAGCAAUUCCAUACUCAUCCCACCCACUUUUCACAGCUACAAGGUCAUCCCCAGUAGAAAUGUAGGAGUCCUCUAUGCAGACAUUGGAGCUUGAAUCUGCAUCAAUCAACAUAUAUGGAGUCAAACUUCAUAAUCGUCGAAUUCCCACCGAAACCAGAGGCAAAUGUGGUUGUCAUGGGACGGAAUUGGAGUAACAGAACCCAAUCAUUAUAGGACUGGAUUAGGGCUGGUUUGCUCCAUCCUUUUUUUAUUUUUUAUAUCUUUUCCCCUCAAAUGAAGAAAUAAAUAGGAAACAAAAAUCCCAUAGCUAGGCUCCAUGCAGUUGACAAGACCCUACUUGGGAUGCCUAGCUGCUGUAGGCAACUACAAAAUGAUCCAAAGAACCAAGCCCAUACCCUGGAUCGAAUGGGUCAAUAGCAAAUUCUUUUAGUUCCUUGUGGAUUUUUCAUGUAAUAAAUGCAACCUAAAUCAUCCCCGUUUACUUUCCUAAUGCCUGAAUUAUUCUGAUGUUCUUUUCUUUUGUAAACAUCUAUCCCUCUAUUUUCAUAUUCAUUUUAUAUUCUUUGUUAAACUGUUCCCAAUGUUUCUUUCUGAUAAGCCUCAAGACGAUUGGUCUCAGGUUGAAUAAAUUGCAAAUUUUAAAUUAGUGACUGGGGUUGAAAGUGCUGAUCUAUGUGAUUUGCGGUGCAUCUAAAUGCCUAUGCAAGAAGUGGCAAAUCUAAAUGGUAAGUGCUGUGCGAAUAAAUGUGAACACAUAUAAUGACAAAAACUUGUUCACACAAAUAAUGACAAGCUCACACAGAUAAUGGCAAACAACUGACCAACACUAGAAUUACAGAAGUGUAUACCUGGAUCAAUACCAUCCGUGUUGGGAGAGUCAUGUGGAGCCAAUAUGGUGACAAAUUGAACAACGACAUUUCUGUAGAUAAAAAAAUAAGUAUUAGAUUUAUUAGGCUGUAUCAAGUGUACUCAAACUUCAUAACUCAUUAUAACAUGAAUGCAAUGCACAGUUGGCCCCAUAUUUGUAGGGUUCUGCACAAGCAUAGUGUGCGAGAACCAAACACUUCAUGAUUACACCCAACCUUGGCCAAUUCCACAGCUUUUCAAAAAGCCCCUUACAGCAGCAUGGGUUAGAACUUUGUAAAACAAAUAAUUGCUUUUCAACAAGCAAUAUGCUUUAUCAAUAUUCAAAAUAUUGAAAGCCAUUCAACUUUUAGUAAAGAACUCAUAAUUUUACAGGGACUAAUGGGCCUUUGGUUGAUAAAUCAAUUGGUUGGAUCACACAUAAUAAGGGUCCUCAAUCAAUUUAAAAGUUCAUAGGCUCCCUGAAACUUUAAUUAUGAGAAAUAUAUGUUCAAAUGGAGGAUAUUUAUACUGAGUCGAUCUUUAAAAUGUAACAUCUAUUAAGUUUAAAAUCAAUGUUCAACUAUUACCUGCAAUAAACAGGAUGAAUGUUCCAGAAGGGAGAGUCCCUAAAAAUCACAUUGGAAAUAAUAAUGUUUCUGGAAUUUAUUAAUUCAAUGAGAUUCGGCCUAGUGAAUUGAAGGGUUCUCUGCCUCCACAUGUUCCACCAGACUUCACCUUGGCCAUCAAUUGUCCCAUUCUCACCUAUGAAAGAACAAUUGAUCAGGUUAAUAAAACUUUAUUUGGCACAGAAAUUGUUUAUAAUGUCACAGAACAGUACCAAUACUCAUCCCAACAGGUUCAUGAAACCAUGGGAUUAUAAAUUGUGAUUUUUCUUGAAUCUAGAGCUUGUUUCUAUUAAUGGUUCCUACAGACGUUAAAAUAAUUUAGAUCGCUUAAUCUAGAUAGAAGGCAUUUACUCAUAUGUCUGAGGAUCAUCACAAAUAAUCAACAAUUCCUUUUGUAGAUACCCACCAGUGAUUAUCACAUCAUGAACACCAUCUGCAUGGAUAAAGCUCAUAUACCUCCCUCCAGGCAGCUCCCUCCCUCUUCCAUAAGAUGGCAAGGGAGCAAUUAAAGGCCAACUACCAGUAUCCUGAAACAUCAAGCAAGAAGGAAAGUUCAGACGAUGUAUGAAUGAGAUAAGGGCCAAAACCCAAGGACUAUGUUGUUCUUAUUUUGGCAAGAUGCUCAGUAUACUUAUAAAAUAUGUAAAAGAAAUUAGUGAAAGGCUCAAAAUCAAAAUCAAAGACAUGAAACCUAAGAGCAUGAUAAAGAAUCUGAAUCUCUACAAAUGGUGAAAUUUUAAAAAGUGUGGUAUUUGAAGAAAUAAUCUUUUAUGUAUCAGACUUUCUACUCUUUCCCCUGCAUGGUCAACGUUCUGCACCCAAAAUGGUUUCAUUUUGUUAUUCAUAAUAGGUUAAGGCACAAACCUAUAAUUUCAGGCCAAGUCAUAACAGAAGCAAAUUGGAGUUGUUAAAAGAGGGUAGAAAUCCACACCAUAGAAUUAUCAUGGUUGUUACAAAAAAUGCACUAACUCAUUUUCAUUGAAUGUGAAAUUCCCUUAAAGACGUACAAUACCACAUCCAGCCUAUCAAUUGUUAAAGGCAACGAUACUAAUGCUGGCAGACCAAAAGUCAUGAGAACCAACAGAUUGUGUAAUCUAUUAAUAAACAAAUUUGAACAAUCAAUGAGCUCUAGGUAAUCCUAGAUUUGUGAAAUGCUUCUGGGACCAUCGCCACAAGACUUUCCCACAAGCCCUUGGUUUUUAAAAUUAUAUUGCAUGCUACCAAAUCUCUCAAAGAAGCAUUUUGGAAACUUACCAUUUCCAUAACCUUAAGUUUAAUAACUCAAAACAAUACGAUCUAGAAAAUUUAGAUUAUUGAGUUCAUCUAUAAGAUAAAUUACCUUUACAUUUUAGACAAUUUGUGGUCCUAGUUCAUAGCCACAUUUGAUGAGCAAUUAGUUUUAACAAUGCUCCAAAUUGUAUAAGAACAAGAUGGGCUUGUCGUGUGGGCUCCAAGUACAGGACAAGCCUGUUCCAUCAGACAGGGUGCAUUAUGCCCUCAUAACUACAGACGCGGCAUUAUUUUCAGCCAUAAAAAUAGUGAGCUGGCCGUAAUUUAUGGUAAUAAUAAUCAUAGCAAUUGUCUCCAAUCCUAAAUUUGUAUUAUAUAAAUUAAAUAUUUCCAUUGAUUUGAAUUGCAUAUAACAGCAAUUACUUUAGAACGGUAUGGAGUUUAACAUUCAAUACAAGGGUCCCAACCAUCCUCACUAAAGCCACAGGGGUACCUGCAUCCACACACUUCAUAUGCAUCGAUAUUAUUCUAAGUUAAUGUAAACAUCAAGACCAUGACAUCACUGGCCACUAUCUAGCUGUCCAAAUAUAUCCAAUUGCCGGUACUCCAAUCCUUUGCACAUGCAAUGGUGCUACCAAUUCAAUCCAGAGGACCCACAGUAUUUUUUCUUUGCUUUUUUUAUUUUUUGGUGGGGAGCACAAGGACUAGUGAUAUUAACCCAAUCUAACCAGGUCGUAAUUAAUAAACAUCUCAAACAAGUUACAGAAUAAUUUAGUCAAUGCACGGAUUCCAUCGCAUCAAAGGUUUUCAUGCUGAUUAUUCAACCAAAAAAAGUGCUUCUCACCCAAUCAAAGCCUUCCCCACUAAAUUUCUGGCUUUUCUGAGUUGGCAUACUACAUUUGCCAUACUACAUUGCAUAAGUGAUGAACUUAAAAGAAAUCGGAGACCUAGUCCAAACCCAUAUCCAAUUUAUUGAAUUUUAAAACCAAAUUGGCAAAUUCUCAUAAUUUGAUUUUUUUAUUUUUCUUCCAGCCAUUUGGCCAAAUUUCCCAAAAGUUCCUCAGGAUUAAAUGCAACAUCAAACUGGCCAGCUUUUCCAAAUUUCCCCAAUAAACAAUCCAUUUGUUCUAUCCAAAUAAAGAUUCCCAGCCAAAUCUACAUUUUUCCCAUAUGCUCAAUCACUAUGAUAAAGCUUAACCUAACAAACACUGGAUCGACAUUUGGGAGAGAGUGCGUACCUGGGUGGCUCUGAUAACAGCAUCUUUAGACAAGUAGAGAGUCAUAUGACUGGUAAGAUUAAAGCUCUCCGUUAAGUAGACCCCAGGAGGUAUAUAAAGCAGCGUGCCCCCUCUCCUCCUCAGAUGCUCAAUCCGAUAUAUCGCCGCCCGAAACGCCUUCGUGUUCAGCGUCUUCCCAUCACCGACACCUCCGAAAUCUUUUAUCGAGAUCACAUCGUUCCGGUGCCGCAUCGGCACUAUCCCGGAGCAUGUCACAUCUCCGGCCAGCACCAAUCGGGUCAGAAACAGCGCAGUGGCCGCGAAACACAGGAAAAUCCAGACCACAAACCGACACAUUUUCACAACUUCAACUUCUCCGACCUCUAUGAGCCUGAAUAACUUCAGCAGCCAGUAAACACCAGUGAGAGAAGAUAGCACAGCAGGAGCUGGUUGGGGAAACGCACUUUCUGGGAAAAUCCGCAAAAUGUUCCGGGGAAAUCUGAGGAAAAAACCAGGAAGAAAAUCCAACAAAAUCUUUAAUGGAAGAAAACGAGAAAAUAAUCCAAGAAAUCUGAGAGUAAUUUGGUAGUGAUUGCAUGAGGAAAUGUACAAAGGAAAAUGGUUGGAGACUUGCUUUAAGAUUGAGAGAAAUGAGGCAGAUCUGAGUGUGAAGCCAAGGAGACAGCUCCAAAUGAAAACUAAUUAACAAAUGGGACGAUUCUAGUGAGAGAAAAUCUCAAAAAUUGAAUGAUUUCAUUUCGGAGUGAAGACCAUAAAUUAGUGUGGAGAGCUUCUUUGCUUCGGGAGCUGUGAGAAUUCUGGAUGAGUGGUUUGUUAAUAAAGUAGUUCGUGACGUGUCAUUUCAUGGGCAGUUUUGCCCGUUACUAUUAUUUUAUUUUCCCCUUUUGACCUUCAAAGGGAAAAGUGCCCUUUCACAAACAUUUUUUUAAAAUAGAAAAAAAAAUCAAAUUUAAUAUAUUAAAAUAAAAUUAAUUAUUACUACUAUAAAUAGAUAUUAAUUAUUUUCAUUUUUAUUUUCAAAUAACAUUCUUUUUCUUUAUUUUUAAACUUAAAUAAAAAACUAGAAAUAAUUCAAAUUUUUGCAUAUAUAUUUAGUUAUUUACCAUAUAAAAAUUUAGAUCUUUAAAUUAACAUAAUAUUUUCAUUGUAACAUUUUUAUUGGAAAUUAUAAAUGCUUCUAAAAAGAACCAAUUCAUCUUUAAAUUUAAACUAAAAGAAUACUUUAAUAAUGUUUUUUAUCAUCCAUUAAUUCUUUCAAGUAAUUUUUAAAAUUUUUAAAAAAUUAAUUAAAUUUUUAAUUUUUAUAAUGAAAUAUUAUCACACAUUAAAAAACGUUUAUAAUUCUUUUAAAAUCCCCCUCAAAUAACCCUUUUUAGGCUAAUUGAUUAAAUUCAUUCAAAGACAUAAAGAGAACCUUAUCAUUAUGGCCCAUACAACAUUGCAUGGCUUUGUUAUCUUGAUUCGUAUGAGGAGGUUGGAGAUUUACAUAUAUAUAAAGGUUUCUAUAUUUUAAAGAAAAUGAUGCAUAUUGAAAACCAAAAAAUUAAAUAAAAAAUAAUAAGAAUUUUAAUAUUUUAAAAUAAAAUUAGAAAUUUGAUUUAAAGUAUGAUUGAUUUAAAAUAAUAUCAAUUCUAUAACUUUGGAAAGGCCUAACGAAUAACAUCACUAUUGGUUUUAACGCUACGGAGAGCUCAUUCUAGAAAACAUAUGCAAUUGUUCAUAAAAGAAUGAAAAAUUUAAUUGCAUUUCAGUUUUAUAAUUACACACCAAAUCCCUUUUUUUUUUUUUAAAAAAAAGGAAGAAGACAAAGGAGGACCCAUUUCCAUCCUAUCAUAUCAUGUGAAGUUUAAAUGUUUAAUGGGACUGCGGAUCGAGUGGACCAAAUUUAUGGAAUCAACUACGGGCCAACUCAUAGUCAUAGAAAGUUGGACCCCACUAUUCUAUGGUGGCUUCGGCACCACCGGAUUUUUUUCCCUCUUCCUAUUGUUUUACUAUUGUUCUUUUUUUUUUUUAAAGUCAUGAAAAAUGAUAAAUUCCCCAAUCCAAGGGUCUUUCCGGCCGACUCAUUAUUUUAUUUAAAAAAAUAAGGGAUAAAAAUACCUUUAUUUUCUUCAUCCCAACACGAUGCACCUAAACACUCUAAUCCCACUUCUCCUUUUUCUGUCUAAAAAAACAAAAAAUUCUUUGACUUUUUUGUUCUUUUUAUUCUCUUUUUCCUUACUAUUUUAGUUGAAAAAAAAAAGAACUAUAGGAUUAAAAUUUUGGGUGUACGGGGUUGGUAUGAAAAAGAAAAAAAUGAAAGCAUUAUUGAUAGUGUGCAACGAAUUUAGAUGAGAUGUUGAACACUCUUCUUUCAAGUUUUUCUGGUUUUGUUUUCAUUUCCAUUUUGAUUUUUAUAUUUAAAUGCUUGUCUCUGUCUUACAGCUUUUCAUAAAGCUAAGGAUAAGAGGUGGAGACUGAAUUUCUUGGCUGAUGUUAAAGCUGAAAGCCAAAACCACAGAGUCACAGACCUAUGCGCCGUUCCACUUCUCCACGGUUUAUUAGUUGGGUUCGAAUCCACCACAGAUCUGAUGACGCAUGAUCCCCUGUCCGUCACUCCUCUCUUUUGAGAGGAUUUGAAAAAUAUAAAGUAUUUUUGCUUUCAAACUAAAAAUUAACAUGAAGUAUUUUUCAUAAAUUGUUAUAUAUAUCUAUAGUAAGAGUGAAAAAAAAUUGUAGUAAAAAUGUGGCAAUAUAUAGUGAAAAAUAUUAGAUAAAAAAAGAAAAAAUAAUAAUAAUUGUAAUAUUUUUUUAAAAUUUUCAUUAAACUAAAACUCACUCUUCUGGAAAAAUCACUUUGAAAUGUGUAAAUUCCACAAUGAGAGCCAUUUAAGAAGCUCUCAAAAAAAAAAAACCAUUUAAUUAUUUUCACUUUGACAUGAAAAGAGCCUAACUUUCCCCAUUAAAAAAAUUAGAGGUGCCCAAGCAAAUAUCCCCAGAAAACGUAAAACUUGUCCAACUGAUAAGAAAAGGCAAGAGCAUUGAUGUUAUAAACAUCAUACAGAAAAUAGAAACACAGAAAUUUUUGUGGCUCAAAAGACUUCCAUCUUUGAUAAGGUAACAGUAAGUGUCCUAUAGAAUCUAGAAAUGGCGACUAGAUAAGGACAUGUCACAAUAGCUUGAACCUGAGAGUUCUACAAUCUACGAUACCUUUUCACUGUUACUAGGAUGGUAACAGCCAUUCUUGGAUCCUCUUUAUUGUGAGUAUGUGAUCCUGGGCAGCAUCAUUUUCUGGAGAAAAUAUUCAAAAACUAGUUAUGGGCAAGCAUGGAUAUUUACAAACAGAGAUUAAUACAAACCAUGGUGGUUAAAACCCAAAGAAUCCAUAGGGGAAGAUUAACCUAGUCUGUGUUUUUUUUCUUUUUUUUUUUUUUCAUUUCAGAAACCUGUAGGAUGUAAAAAGAGAUUGAUCAUGUGCUACUAUAGACACAGAUGUCCGGGUAGCAUUGAAAGGAAGAGAACAGGAAAACAGGCAUAAACAAACUACAAAAGAAAAUCUUCAGAGUACCAGUCUCUGUACUCAGCACCAGUCAUAGUUGGACUCUGGUGUCCAAUAAGCUUCAAAUGUUCCUCAAAUGCUUUGCCCACAGCAGCUCACAGCAAUCAGAUCGUUGAUGCUAGGACCUUUUUGAGUGAAGGCACUUACAUUCUGUCAAUGGGUUCUGUCCGGUCCUGUAUUGCCAAUCGCUCUGACACAUCAGCCAAUGACUUCAGGUUGCACUUGAUCAAGGCUUCUACGAAGUAGCAUGUUUCAUCCUUGGUGUUUCCAUCGGGCACAUCUACCACAAAUGAUUCGAUCACUAGUGUCCCUGGUCUCCCAUCUAUAAUCUCAGGAUGGACAGUAACAAUGGACGAGUAAUUCUGCAUAUUUGAGAAAGAACAGUGAACAAGGUUGAUGUAGGAAUGGUGAGCAAGGUUGGAGUAAUCUUAAGCUGGAUGAGAAAUUGCAUCAGCACAAUACAUUUCCAAAUCACAUAGGGAGGGAAAACAGAAUAUUCUGCAGUGAAUGCAUCAUAUAGAAGCAAAUAAAUAAGAUUUAAAAACCUCCAUUCACCAGUGACCAAAGUGGCUCCAAAUACAAAAGGCAAAGAAACAACUGAAAAAUUAUAUCCAUUUCAAAAUGGAGCAAUAUGCCUAGCAUUGGGGCACAAAGCAUUACCAAGGCAGCAUUGAAGAUGCUCAGCAACGGUUUGAGAAUAUUAACACACCUCAUGUUUGCAUAAAGACACUUUUGGAACUUACCCAUUACACCAACAAUCAACCCAAAGCCUACAAGUUCCAUUGACAACUCAUUGCACGAAGUUGUUGCAAGUGAGGUGUAAUUCGCCUUAUUGAGCUAAUGAUGUCUUUCACGGUGAAGGGAUUUUACUGACAACAAUGAAUGACUUUGGAAUAGUGUCGGUCCCGGGAAUUUUAUUAGUCAUGGAGCAAUGACUCGCAGCACUGGACCAUUCAUCGAGCAAUCUUUAUCAGCAUUUCAUGGCCACAAAUCACCACAAGAUGAUGGUGGGUCAUCUACUACCAUUCAGGUUUAUUGAUAGGGAUAUGGGCAAC
This 8857-nucleotide long non-coding RNA is filed under the name Vitis vinifera (wine grape). RNAcentral describes it as "long non-coding RNA (VVIN_LNC000339)". The record is from RNAcentral. Lineage: Eukaryota; Viridiplantae; Streptophyta; Magnoliopsida; Vitales; Vitaceae.